AGCCUCUUCUUUCCUCUGCGAACGCGCUGAGCAGCGAUUGAAAACGUUUUGGUCCUCUGCAGGGGCGCAUUCUGGGGUCUCUGCGCAAGACCAGCUCUCAGCUCUCUCUCCUUUCCUCGGACUCUGGAGCGGGAGCGGGCCUUUCCCUCGGGUCGACCACGCCGUAGGGGACGCCGUGAAAAGAGCCGUCGCGCCCGCUGCCUCCUGCCCGCUGCGCAGAGGGCUCCGCCCGUAGAGGUCAACUUCCCUCACCCUUUUCUCUCUCCUGCUUGCCCUCCCUCCGCCCGGCCCAGGCGCUUCCAGCCCCAGACUGUGGCCACUGGCUGAGGAGUGCGAGUCGGCUGCGCUGCCCUGAGCCUAAUCCCUCUUCCGGGCCCAGACCCGAGGUCCGCGCUCCUGGGCAGUGGGGAAGCUUUAGUGAGCAGGCUUUUCUCUCCGCAGCAAACUUGUAGCCAGACCAGAUGGGCCGCCCAGCUCUCUCGGGACUAGGCAGGUGCGGAUGAGUUAAUUUUUCCGCAUUACAAAGAAAGAUGACCCAGCCCGCCCUUGGACUCUCUUUUCCCAAAAUCUCCCAACCAAACCCGCGGUAACGUUAUCAAAGGACACAGAGCCCAGGCAUAUCUGUGUGUUUAUCUUACAGGCACACACGCAUGGUUUUCUCUUUUAUAUGCUAGAUUUCAUCCCUGACAGCAGAAAAUGAUUGGCAAUGGUUAUGACGGAGAACAUGCAAUAGCGUGGUCCUUAAAAACCUGCCAUUCCUUACAAGUGCCUUAGAAAGGAUUCAGGGCGAACCAACUGGGUUAAUUGCAUUCAGUAAAAUAACACGAUUACAAAAUUAGAUCUGUACCAGAGGGGUAAUUAACUUGGAUCCACGCCGUCAUUUGAAAACUAGAUUUAUAGGCUUAUGUAUGUUUUUAGGCGUGUGCUGUAAAUGGCAUGGAGAUAUAUGCAUAUGUAUACGCAGGCACACGCACCGUCUACACUUCCACGGAACAGACUAAUUAACAGCGGCUCUGGCAGAUGUGUCAGAGAUGAGCAGAGACAGGAGCUGGGCUUAUGAGUUAUGACUCUAGGGGUAGAGACUCAGAGCGGAGAGAGGGGGAUGGGCAGGGAGAGAAGAGUGGUAAUCGCAGUGGGUCUUAUACUUUCCGGAUCAAGAUUAGAGGCUCUGCUCUCCGUGUUCACAGCGGACCUUGAUUUAAUGUCAUACAAUUAAGGCACGCGGUGAAUGCCAAGAGCGGAGCCUACGGCUGCACUUGAAGGACACCAAAGCAUCUCAGGGUCAGAAAGGGGAAAAAGCAAUUGCAGGGAAUUUAGGGGGUAGUAAAAGGAACCCAUCUCUUGCCGCAUAAAUGCCCCCCACCCCCACCCAGGACUGAUUCUGGAAGCAACCUAGUGUUCGAAAGGGAAAGGCUCCUACUUUUCCAUUACAGCCGCGGAAAUCCGCAGGCAAAUCUCCGAGGAGAAUUUUAGGGAAGCUUCAUUGACAGCUGUCUGGAGAGCAGUAGUUCCCGCCUGUGCAAAUAUUCCAGAGAGUUAAAUCAUUUAGAAAGCACUAGUUCUUUCAAGAACAGGUAGUGUGAUUGUCUGCAGUCCUGGGCCAAGCUGGGAAAACAAAACAGCAGAGAGAGGUGUAACAUUAAAUAGCGUCCUGACCACACUGCGCAAGAAACAGCAAAUGAAACGUCCAAACUUUGGAAAGAUCUGAAGAACACUUGCCGCCCGCAUUUCCCCUUGACUUCUCCCUUUUUCUUCCCAAUCUCGAGGCGUUCAUGCCUGGCUUUAAGACGCCAAGAUAACUCUCUUGUUUUGGCAUUGUCGCAAUGUCCAAAUCGGUCAAAGGAGUGGGAUAAGGUGAAAGGACCAGGUCAGAAACUUUAGAAGGACUCGGUAAAUUAAUUUGUUUGGAAGCCAGUGAGGUGGACUAUGUUGAGGUAGCAGUUCCGCACCACGACUUUGGAGCCAAAGAAAAACCCAGGCCGAAAAAGCGAGCCUUGAUGUCUUUGUUCUGCCUUGGCCUGCAGGGGUUGGGAACAAAGGAGAGGAGCUAAGAGGAUGCACCAAAGUAGCCGCGCCCUCCCUGCCUGGCGCUGUCCGCGGUGCUGACCGUGGCCCUUUUCUCUCUCCGUAAUCAAACUGGAAAAGCAAUAGGACCGUCCCGUCCCUACUCAAAAGAAGAGUAGGAUAUUAGGUAAUUUGAAAAAUAACAUUUAAAAAGAGAAAAAGGUCACAUACAGCAAAACAAUAUUUUACUGAAAUCGUUCCCUCAAGCUGGUUGCUACCCUUGCCUGACACUUUUUGGUCUUCACGUAGGAAUGCACACAUACAUACAUUGUAAGUGUAUGGGGAAACCAUUUCCACUUUAUUUAGGCUGAAACCUAAAUCGCAGGAUUGCAAGAAGGAAAUUGAGGAGAAUGAAGGCUUUAUUAUUAUCCUUUUCUUUCUUAAAUCAUCUUCCUUAAAACAGAAACAUAAGGUCCUCAGCCGCGGAUUUUAGUGCUUACUUGGUCACCAAAGGGACGUGCAAUGGACUCAAGUGUGGGCCUCGAGGCUUAACUAGGAAGGGGUGGGUCGGGGACCCACCAGGUGAAACAGGGCAGGAGCCCAUGCAGCUUGCCACCUUCGGCCAGGCCUUGCAGCCCGGCAGCCUUAGUAGACGGGUACAGAGGGCUGAGCUCUGCAGACCGCUCUGCUGCGCAGGAGCCUGCUCGGCGCAUCCCAGCCGGCGGGAGGCACUGGAGGGCCAGGAGGCCUGAAACCCGCACUGCGGAAAAACCGACCUCAGCCACAUCCUCAUAGCUCACGCGACGGAAAGAGGCAGGGCGGUUUACUAAAUCUUAUGCAGUGAAAAUUCGCCUUAGAAAUCGAAGGUUGGAUGAGUCAGUAUUGAUAUAUUCAAAAAUCUAAAUUUCUUAGCAUAUUUCAUCGUUCUUAGAUGUUGAAAGUAUUAAAUGUAAACAAUACAAAUUUAAAUUCCCUAAGUAAUGAAUCAAAAUGGCAAGGGAGAGAGAGAGAGAGAGAGACGGAAAAUCAACCAAUUCGUAGCCACCCUGGCUGGCUAUUUCUCAAAAGAAAUUUCUAUGCAUUUGCUUGAGUUUGUCUAUAAAUUCACAAACAUAAAGGGUGUUAAAAUUAGUAACAGACAAAAUAAUUCAGGUUGGACAAUAGAGACAGCAACACCGAUUUUGAUCCAGGUAUAACAAUGGGCCAUGCAUUGACAAUGACCUAAAAGACAUGUGUUCAUUAAGUUAUUUUUUUUACACGGGAUGUAGAUGUAUCAUAAAAUUCAUGAAAUAAAGCGGCCAGGUGCAAUAUCCUCAGAGAGCUGCCUUCUCACCCCCUGCCUCAGGGCGGAUUUUAUCUGUCCUCGAAUUUUAGAACUCUGCAAGUCGGGUCUUUCACAUUCAUCGAUUACUUUGGUUUAUAUUUAAUUUUAUCCAAUUUCGGAGUGGGUGGGUAAAGCACACUGGAAAAUAGGGGCUGCUCGAAUUACAAAAUUUAAGGAUUGGGAAUAUUCCUCUUGUGCCAAUUAAAAGCAGUCGUUGGAAGCAGAAAUGAAUUUAAAGCAUUACACGUUAUCAUGGCGGCCUUGCUUUUUCCUUCCAGUAUUCAUCCAAUUGCGCUGAUCUCCUGCAUCCACAUCUUGCGUAAUCCACAAAGCAGCUAUGGUCCAGGGCUGCAAAAUCGUCCUGCCUGAUUCCUUUAGAAUUCAUACUACCUCAGAGGAGCAAACCUAAUCCCCUCAGCCUAAUCCUACCUGUUUAGGAUCAUCUAAACUUGUCCUUCAGAAAGCUUGAUCAGUUUAAAAUUGCUUUCUAAAUAGAAAUGAAAUACGUGAUAUGAGAGAGGUUAAAAUACUGCUUAAAAAGGGAAACACUCAAUUUAGUAAUUCGGUUGCCUAGAUGAAAUCGAGUGGCUAUUGAUCCGUGAUGUUUCUAGAUUUUUAAGACUAUGUACUUCCUAUUUCUUUGGAAAAUAAUCAUCCAGUUUGAUGCCCAUUACAAAUUUUCCUGCUAUGAAAGAAAUUCUAUGCGCGGCAGUUUUGCAAUAAAACAACCCGGGCUUCGCAAUGGGAGAACUUCGGUGCGGCGUGCCGUGAGAGUCCUUUGACAAUCUCAGCUUUCAUCUAGGUCUGAAAUUAAAGCUUCUCGGAAUAAUUUAGGAACAGCUUGACCCGUUGAGAUACUCAAGGACAACCCUCCAGGGAAAUAGUAUGUUUCCUUCCUGGGAACAAGAUGCUAGCGCGGUGCACCGGGAGGUAUCUGGUGUCAACAAUGCCAGAGCGCCCUCUGCUGCCUCAAAGAGGCAGGACACCAGUUACAAAAGCCAGAUGGCACAGUGGCAAUAAGCGGAGGAAACAUUAAGCUCUUAGAAACGUUUAAUCUGUGAAAUUUAAAAGCUCUCAUCAUAUUCUACUUUUGAAAGGGCCACCUGAUUUUGAUUUUGAGCACUCCUUGGAUGUUAUCUUCUAUUCUGGAGGAUAAUGAAAAGUCCGUGUUUUGAAGUUUUCAGAUUAUUUCUGUAGUUAUAUUUCUCCACUCUUUCUCGAAUUUUAUAUGGAAAUACGAAAUUGCAAAUCUAAGUGAAAAACCUUUGUGUAAAACAGGUGAGUGGAGAAGACGUCCUGGUUUCUCCAAAUAACUAAGAUCUAAUAAAGAAACAAAUCUUAAUUAAAAUAAAGAUACCGAGCACAUGUUGUUGUGUUAGUUUAAAACGAUAAUAAAAAGAAAGAAAUUAAGUCUCGAUGUAAAUCAUUGUUUUGUUGUUUUGUUUCAGUGAUUAACCCAAAUUUUGACCAGACUUGAAGUUUUGAAAUAAGAAAGUGAAUUAUUUUAAAGAAGAAGAAAAAUUUGCUUCUUAUUAAUAUGUACAAUAUUUUUGCCCUUAAAACCUUUGCAAUACAUUUAUACACACACACUCAGCUUGCAAAGCCUUCUUUAGAAAAUAACCCACUCUGAGUAGAAGUAAUGAGAUAUGGUAGCAGCAUGGGCAAAGCCAUAAGAAACGUUAUUUGCAUUAAAAAUGAGUUUUUCAGUAUGGAAAAUCAAUUACCAAAUGAAAUAGAGAUUUUUUUUAAAGGUUCAAACCUUUUCAAAUUUUUAUGUUAUAGGGUUUAUAUUGAUUAAAAUAAAUGUACGUUUGUAGUUAUUCAACAUUAUGAAUUUCAAGAUGGCCACCUAUUUUGAAACGCACACCUUUGCCAUGAAGUCUGUUGUUGCAUAUAUUAGUGCUGAUGUAAUAAAAUGCUUCUAUUAACUAUGUGGUUGUUAAUAAAUCUUGUAAAAAUAAAGUUCUGUUUAUUUUAUGGUGUCAGAACAAAAUAGCUGUUUAAAAUCACUUAUUUUAGUCUUAGCUUUUAAAUCAAAAUGCCUAUAAGAAUAUUAAGUUCUAAGAUUGUUGAGAAUACUAAGAUAAAAUUAAAAAUUGUAUGAUUUUACAAUUUGCUAUAAUUUAAAAAUCUUGUAUUGAUUAAAUGUUAAAUCAGGUUAAAUAUUUGACCAAUUGUGUCAAGUUCCGUAUAAAUAUGGGUACAUUUGUCUUCUGAAAGCUAUUUCUCCAAAGAAUGCACUUACGAAUGUAUGGCAUAAUAAGUGAAAAAAUGGUAGAACUUUUAUGUUUUUAUUUUAAGUAUCCUUUUAAAAAUUAAAAAUAUUUUUUUUCUUUUACUUAAUUUAAAUUUCUUCCUAAAUAAGUGCAUAUUUUACCCAGGAGAAAAUAAACAGAGUGACAUAAAUUUGCUAUACUUCUUAUAGUUACUAUAAUCAGUUAAAAAACAACUUCUAGGCAAAUAAAAUAUAUAAUAAAAUGUAAAUUAAAAUGUAAAUAAAAUGCAACAAAUUCGUGGGUGGAAGACAUGAACAUGACUUUUUUCUAUUUUAAAAACCAUUUGAUGUAUUCUAAAAAAAGAAAAAGAAAAGAAAAACAGAAGAGAACCAACUAAAAGAGCUUCCCAGAUGUCCAAUAGAUGCUGCCCGAAGUAAAACGCAUACUCUAAUAUUUGUUAUUCAAAUUUGCAUGUAAGGGUUUUUAACCUCCCUUUAUUUUAUACUUGUACAGGGUAACGUAUUGUAACUGAAACACUCCUCCUAAUUUAUUCUGGCUGUGAAAAGCCUAUGGAAACAUUCACUUCCAUAGGAGUAAUAUGUAUCUAAACAGUAUAUUUAGGGAAAGCACUAAUAGAACACAAACAACUAAUUACUGAUGCUUUUAAGGAGGAACCGCAACAAUAAUUGUGCACUGUCUUAGAUAAAAUUAAUAUAGAAUUUAAUAUUUGUAGACCACAAAAAAGCCCUAAUCGUGGACCGCAGAUUAGAAAGAACAGGCUUUAGCACACUGUGUAUCUUUGUAGUAUUCAGACUCAGCUGCCACUGCGAUUUCCAUCAGCUGCUGUUAAGUAAAUAAUAUACUAUGGAAAUAUGACUGAGUAGGAAUUGAAAAUAAAAUGCUUUAAGAAGGAAUAAAAUUGGGAUGUCAAGAAAUCAAAGUUGAUUGUCUUUAAGAUAGAAGGUUAGUAGUUACAAACUGCAGCGAAAAUAUAUACAUUGAUGAGCAAAUCUCCACGAAGUAAAAAGUUCAGAUGUUGGAUACUACCAAGGCAAAAUAGAGUGAAAUAGGAAGAAAUUAAGUCUUUGAGACACAUGUAGAAAGAACAAAGAAGCCUCUUGACUUCAAUUUUGUUUUUAAAAUUCCAGUAGAAGAUGUUUAUGCAGAGAAACCUUAAGGAAUUCUUCAUUGUCAUGUCACAAUUUUGAUCUUGUUGAAUUAAGAAAGACAGGGAAAAGUUGAAAAACAAAUAAGCAAAAUGUGAAUUUACUAUUGAACUCUUAUGGGUUUGUAAUGCAGAAUUGUGUUUUUCCUUUCCUACUUGUUGGUCAGGUUCUUUUUAAUCAUAAGAAGGAAAAUAUUUAAAAUAUAAUUUUAUACAUGGUACAAUUGUCUCCCCUUAGCCUUGGCUCGCUUUCUGUGGUUUUAGUUACCCGCGGUCAACUGUGGUCUGAAAAUAUUAAAUGGAAAAUUCCAGAAAUAGACUAUUCAUAAGUUUUAAAGUUUGUGCUGCUUUGAGCAGCAUAAUAAAAUCUUGCACCACCCCACUUCAUCCCACCCAGGAUGUGAAUCAUCCUUUGUCCAGCAUCUCCAUGCUAUAUGUAGCUACCCCUUAGUCACUUAGUAACCAUCUUGAUGAUCACAUCUACUGUUGCAGUAAUAUCACACAGCAUCACUUAUGUUCAAGCAACACUUGUUUUGCUUAAAAUGACUGCAGAGUUCAAAAGUAGUGAUGUUGGGAAUUCAGAUAUGCCAAAGACAAGCCAUAGGUACAUCCUUUAAGAGAAAAGGCGAAAGUUCUCAAAUUAAUAAGGAAAGAAAAAAUAUUGCAUACUGAGGUUGCUAAGAUCUAGUGUAAGAAUGGAUCAUCUAUUAAUGAAUUUGAAAAGAAUGAAAGGUAAAUUUAGGCUAGUUUUGUUGUCACACUUCAAACUGUAAAAGUUACAGCCACGGUGCAUAAGUGCUACUUAAAAUGCAAAAGGCACUAAAUUUGCUGUUGGAAGACAUGAACAGAAACGUGUUCCGAUUGACGACAAUCAGAUUCAGUGUUAUCUGCAGUUUCAGGCAUCCACUAGGGCUCAUGGAAUGCAUCCUCUGCAGAGAAGUGGGGACUACUGUCUUAAUAAUAGAAUGAAUAUAACAUAGCUUAUGCUGGGCAAAAUAUCUUUCUUCUGUUAAUUUGUUUGAACAAAAAACAGUGACAAAUGAAACAGAAACUUGGUUUAGGAGAGUGUUUCUUACUGAUUUGAAUGUUCUAAGUAGUAGUGACAAUGUACUUACAUUGGCAGGAUUCUUAACUUGAACUCAGUCACAAUGCUUCUCAGGAAUUCCCUAUACUCGUGUUAACUGUGAAGAGUGGGAGUUCCAGGCCAAAACGAUAAGGACUAUGUACCUCAGGCAAGGUCAAUUUAAAGGUUACAAAGUUUGGGUUGCUAUGAAAACAUUAAAUAGAGAAAGGUGUUCCCUUGCCGAGAGCUAUGUAGUGCCAGUUUUCCAAAUCAGAGGAACUUCUCUCUUCCCUGGACAUCCUUGACCUGACUCUACUCUCUCGAUUCCCAGAAUUCGGGUAUAGUAGUUAUGUUGUUUUCAUUGUCCUGAUGAUAUCAGAUAAGUAGAUUGGUUACAAGAACUCCAAGGAUGCAUUCUUCAAUAUGUGAUUUUACAACCUGGUAUAUUUAAAGAAAGGGGCUUUGAUUCAAUGACAGGGUUAUUUUUACCUAGCUUUUCAACUCAGAAAGCACAGAUACUUAUAAAUGCCCACUAAGCAUCAGGAAGUUGUGUUAGUUGGAUGAGAGAAUGAGGGGUGUGGUGUAUGUGUAUAUAAAUACAUGUAUAUGGAAAGGAAUAUCUAUAUUAGACAUCACAGUUAACAUUUAAAACAUGGUUGUGAAAAAAAAUAAAACCAACAGUAGCUAUGGCUUGGACUUACCUCUUUUGCAGUUAUCUUCCUAUUAUUAGAUAAUCUACUUGGUAAAAUUGCAUGGUACAAGAGGAUUAUUAAUAAAUAAUCAUUAAAAAUGGCUAGUUCAUUCAGACUAUUCUCCAUACUCCUGCUGUUGUUAUUGCAAUAACUUUCCAAAUUUUCUAAAUCCAUGAAUACCCUUUCAAUGAAUAUAAUUUUUCUACAUUAUCUUCCUACCUCUCUCUCUCUCUGCUUUUAUCUUAAUUGAUAAUGAAACCCAGUAAGGUAAGUGAUUAUUUAGACCAAUAACAUUGAACAAAUCAAUCAUUCCUAAAUGUAGGACCCAAACUUAUAUCACAGAAUUGUGUGUGUGUGUGUGUGUGUGUGUGUGUGUGUAUGGACUUGAAUUGAUUUUUAUUUUAACCUCCACUUCUUUUCGUAGUAAACAACUUCUCUCAGAUUUCCAAAGAUAAAAACAUAGAUUCAUUCAUUCAUUUAUUCACUGUUUGAGUGCUUAGUAGGUGCCAGGCUCUGUUCUUUGUGUUAAAUAUUCAAAGGUGAAUGAAAUUCAUGCGAUUUCUAUUCUUAUGGAGCUUAUGCUUUCUCAGUGUUAAAUUUUCUAUUCUCCUGAACUUACUUUCUAUAAUUCAUGUCUUUUUAUCUUUAAGUGCUUCCAUGUCACUAAUGAGAGUUUUCCUCAUGAGAAGAACAGAUUUGUAUUUUGCUAUUCUGGGAUAAACAAGACCAAUAUAUUUACAUUUUUCUUACAGAUGCACAUCCUUAUCUAUUUGGAAACAAUGAAUGCUUUUUGCUAUUCUCUUUCAAAUUUAAAGAUCAAUUGAGUAAAAUAUUAAUAUAUGCUGAUGUAAUGUUGACUGUAAAGUAUUAGCUCCUGUCUCAAUUGUGGUUUAUUAGUCAUGCUUGAAUUUUGUGUUUAUUGAUUAUAAAUAUUUACUUUUAUUUUGUCAUAGAUUUUGAUUUCAAAUGUAAUUUUUGCAACAUAAAUGCCCAUUCAAACUCUGUAAUUUGGUCCUUAUCCUUAAUUUAUACAUUCUAAUAAGCCGUAGCUUUGUCCCUGUGAUUUUUUUUCUGUUUGUUUACUUUCUUUUAUUUUAAUGAGUGAUUUUUUCCAAUUAUCAAGAUUCUUUUCAACUUACCAUCAUAUUUUUCUAUAGGACCUGAAAUUUUCUUUUCAAUUUACCAUUGUAUUUCUCUAUAGGACCUGAAAUUUAACUAACUUAGAUCAAUGAAAUCAUCAACUGGUUUUAUUGGAUUGAUUAGUUGUACACAACAAAUCUAAUUUAGUUAUUAAACUGGUCCUAAUAACUAGACUCACUUCUUCAUAACCUCAUUAUUUCAAAUGUUUAAAAUAAGCAUCAAAUCAACUGAACACUCAAAAGCCUAUCCCAAAAUAUGCCCACAGAUAUAAUUUCAAGUACUUUUUAAAUUCAUUUCAUUAGCUGUGAAGGUUUUAGAGAUUUCUGUCUUUACCAAAAACACAGUUUUAAAUAUCGCCCUCAUUUAUUGCUCAUGACUGUUGGUCACCAUCUUAGCCAAGUCUUUGAAAGUGGCUAGAUGUCUCUGUCAGGCUUUUUUAGGCAAUGGCAAGUGUCGUGUAUAACAAAGAAGUUAAAUAUCUUUCCUGUAAGUUUUGAUUACUUUACUUAUCAAAAGCUCUGAGGAUGAGGACUUCUCUAGCUUUGCAAUGUAAUUGGUGUAAUAUACAAAUAAUGUACUAACAUUAGAGGCUGGAGAUGUAUAGACUGAACUUUGACUGAGUAAUUUGGAUUACUUUAUUCCUUUCACUAGAUUUUAGUUCUAUGUGAGAUCAAUUAGUGAUUCUCCAUAAUGUGCAUUAAGCAUCACCUGAGGGGGCUAGUUUAUAAAUUUAGGUUUUCAGGUCCUAUCCUGGAAAAUUCAGUUUCAGCAGGUCUCAAAACAUUUAAACAAGCACCCCAGCUGGUUCGGAUGCAACUGAUAUACAUUUGGAGAAACUUGGACCAACUCUCUAAGCAUUUUCUAGCUCUAAACAUUUUGGCUUUAAAGUAAAGAAAAUUAAUAAUUCAAAGAUAGUGAAUCUGCCAUAGGCAGACCCAUAAAGAACUGGUAUUUUGGAGAAGUGUUAGUUAUAACAUACAGAAUGUGUAAGUCCAUAUUCUCAAAGAGGCCAGUGCCAAGAUAAGGUUAAGCAUACAUUCAGUUUAUUAGGAAAAAUGCCUAUGUGAGAAAAGAUGGGAUGGAGCAGAAUAAUCUGGGAGAGUUGUCAGACUGCAAUGCAGAGUCUGAUCUCUAAUGAAAGAGACAGGCAUGGAAGGUGCAGUCUCAGGAAGGUUUGUCAAGGUCAUCAGGAAGUUCUUGAGCCUGAGUUGGCUGUCAGAGGAGUCCUAGGUCUUCCAAGAACAUUCCUGCUCUAGUAUCUCUACCAUAGUUAGUCACAGGUUAGAAGCAGUUCAUAAGAAACAUUUCCUUUGAACAAAUAUAAAGAUGGAUUUUUAGGGAGCAGGGGUUAAGGCCCUUGGUUAAUUACAUGUCUUCUAUUUACAGAUCUAUGAGGUGUGUUCUCACAGCUUCCACAGAGAGGCAAAUCAUUUUUAAUAUCAGCAUCAGUUGCUGGGAAAUUUAACAGAUAUUUAGACACUAUCACAUAAAAAAUCCAGAUUUUAUCUUCACAAGAUCAACAAUCAAUAAAAGAUGAGAGUGAUUCAAGAAUAAAAUAAUUACCUUGCUCCCAAAAUGUAUUAGUUGUAAUGGGCUGUUAUCCUAUGACAUGAACAACUGAUAUGAUAGGAUAACAGCUAUUAUCCUAUAAUAUCCUAUGAACAGCCCCCAAAUCUCACUCGUUUAAAACAACAAAGCCAGUAUCUUGAUCAUACUACAUCCUCUGUACAGAUUGGAAGGGAGGCUCUGUUUUGGUGUUUGAAGAAGUCCAGCGGAGUGAGGCUUCACCUAGUUAUAGAUGCCAUAAUUAUAUAAUAUCCAAUAAUAUGUUAGAGAAAGAGAAGACUAAAGAUUCAAGUAUAAAUUUUUGACCCAGAAGUUAUAGCUAUAGCUUCCAUUCACAUUUUAUUCCCUAGAAUUAGUUACACGGUUAUGCAGAAAAUUGGAAUCUUCAUGUAUCUAGAAGUUAAAGAGAAUAGACACCGGUGAAUAGUGAUGCUUACCAAAAUAUGGCUUCUUGCCAACACUAUCACUGGUAUACAGUGGCUGACUACAUCAUCCCUAAGAGUCCUGGAACUCAGAAAUCAAAUGUGGCUAAAAUAAAACCUUGGUCCAAUGCUUUUUGUAUUGUUUUGAAAGCAGUGAAGCAUGGAGGACAGGGCUUAAACAGAAAGUCAAGAAAUCUUUUAGAAUAAAAAUAGACUCUCUGAAUUGCUGUGUGAUUUUAGAAUAUAUCUUUUAUUUCUGAGCCCAACUUUUCUCAUUUGAAUAAUGAAAGGAUGGAAUUGACUAUCCAAAAAUAUAUUCCAAAAUUCAGUUAUUUCUGAUAAUAAAAGUAACAUUAAUAGCAAUAGAAAUACAACAUCGUCUAGCAUAUGUAGAGUAAGCUGCUGAGGAAAGCUCUUCAUUUCCACUCCACAUGGAGAGUAUUGGUUCUAACACUGAAUUCUGGGGAUCAUCAAUUUCUCUCAAGGUAUUCAUGAUAUUUUGUGAAUAAAGGACUCUUUGGGAUGCCUAGGGGAGCAUGCCCAGCAUGCCUAAGACACAUGCACAUGAUCCUCGUCCUUUGAAUAGAUAAUAAUGAGACACAUUCUGCCCAGCUUCUCACAGAGUUCCAGCAGGAUCAAGCUUAAAACAUCACCAAUUCACAAAACACCCUUGGAUUUUCUCUACCCAUCCCUGCCCUCACUCCAGUUUCCCUGGAACCACUCCCAAAAUAAAUUGCCUCCCUUCAAAAGUCCUUGCCUUGGUCAGUCAUCCAAAGGGGAAACCCAGGCUAAGACAGCAGAGUAAUCUCAGUCGAAUUAGAGAAUAGAGCAUCAAAGAUGGCAAGGGUCUUAAAUGUUUUUAGGUACAACCAUUAUCCAGUGUAUGGUUUCUCUGUCAAUUCAGUUUCUACUUCUUGAAAGAACUCUUUAUAGGGAUAUCUGGUCCUUCUAUAGUGACUGCAUAUGUUGAACUAAGAAGCUGGUUUCAUGAGAAUAUGGAGAGUUUAGCAUAGUCAGGGAGUCUCCACUUAAGAACUGAGAAACUCCAAAGUUUUGAACUGAUCCAGUUUUCUCUAGCUGUGGUGAAGGGACGUUGAAAAAAAGUACUAAAAGGGAUCCAGAUUACUGCAAUUCUGCAAUGCAGUUCUGUACUCUUCAUGUGCUAAUUUGAUAACUAAUAAUGUACAUUAAUUAGAAAAAGAAUAAUGUGCAUCAGAAAAAUAAUAAGAACGAAAAGAAUAAGAUAUUCCUAAAAUAUAGAUGCCUCUAUAUUUAGUAAAUAGAGAAAUGUAUACUAAAUAUAUGCUACACGGUUUUUGUAAAUAUGUAAAUAAAUAAUAGCUCCAAUGUAUAGCAUACAUGUACUUCAUAGUGCUUCCUGAACAAGCAAGGACACUGUCAAACACAGAAGCUCUGACUUUCUUCUUCCCUGUUCUCUCUGACCAAUUGUCCUGAGACAUAUACUGGUUAUCGGCUGCUGCUGGGCCAAUACUUCAGGACAGCCUAACUGUUCUAUCUUGAGUGCAUCCAAGCUAUGCUGAAGAACAGUAAGGAAAACUGAUGAACAUUCAGGUGGGUCACAAAGAGACAUAUCACCUGCAAAAGGCCGAGAAAGUGUAGGAAAUCCGGCCCUGACUCCAAAUGCAUUAGCCCCUAUUUAGAUAGAUGUGCAUGAAAUUUAAUAAAUGAUUUUUGAUCUAUCUGGGGAGGCAUUCUUUAACAAUGCAUUUAUUUAAUGAAGUGUGAAUAUGUUCUUAACAAAUCAGACUAUAAUCAGCAGAUUUAAAAUUAAUUGGAUCUUGUUAGAUGGUAUAUAUCCUUCUUUAGCAUCUGAUUAUAAAGCAAGGUAUAAAUGCUAUAUAAUUCAAUGCAUAGUAAAAUCUCUACAUGAAACAAAGUUUCAAAAUAUGGUUCUAGCUUCAGGAGAAGAUUGUAUUAGCCUUUGUUAUAGAGGGCUAGUAUGCAGUGACUUCUUAUUGAAAUAGGUGUAUUUCAUUUAAAAUAUUGAGCAAUUUUCCAGAGUUAGUUAAAACAGCACGCAAUAUCUGGACUGAAAAGAAGCUGUGGAUUCCUCCAAAUAAAGUUAAAGUUGUUUAAGGUUUAUCACAUGUGAAUUUGUCAUGAUACUGUCACAUAUAAUAGCAACAAUAAUAACCCAUACCCAAAUAAUAUUUUGUUUCUUAAAAUGAUCUUUCCUGCUAUUUACCUUCCUACUUUCAUUAAGAUAUGAGAAUACUGAAGGGAAAUGUGAUUCAAAUUCAUUUACAUUUUUAACUCAAUGAUACAUGCUAAUUAAUUCAAUAACUAGGAAGCCAGCUUCUAUGUGGCUGAUAAAUGCACAUUUUUAUGCAUUUCUGCCUGACAACUCACACUGGUGCUUUUAUGACCCGUUAUCUCGGAGUAGUCCCCACAUCUAAACAAUGUAGAUGUGAGCAUAACAUUAAUUCUCAGACUGAAAGUAAUUCAUACUAGUAAAUAAAAUAUACUUCAAAGUCAAUUAAUAAUGAUAUAAUUAUCCAUACACAGUGUCCUCUAACAAGCAUAGUUCUAAAACUCUAUAACGUAGUAAAAUCCACGAACAGUUUCAACCCUGCUGUUUUUGAUAUUCAGCCCUCAACAAUUUGUCCAUCAGAGAGAGGUGAAAGGUGCCAGAAAUUCUACAGAUGCAGGAUUGCCUUAAGUGUUAAUUUAGGCACAGUUCACUUGAGUCCCUUUUAAUUGCAAUAGCAUUAAACUUCAAGUGUCUAGUACUUCAUAGUUUUACUUCAUACUCCAUAGCUUUCACAGCCUUUCCACACAUGAGAGUUAUAAGCCCCGCAACUGUGCUGUGAAGUAUUACUCUCUCAUUAUGCAAAGUAAGAAACAGUGGCUCAGAGAAGUGGUCAGAAUCUCUGGGACAGAACAAUGGCAGAGUCAGAACUGGAGCUCAUGGUUCUAAUGCAAAAUCCACUUCUCUUUCCUCUUCCCAUCCCAUGCCAACUUAGAGCUUCUCACUGGCUUGAGUUCAGGCUUCACAACAACCUCUUCUUGCCAAGAGACAAACCAUGUAGCAUAUUCGUAACUGUCCUUGCAUCUUGGCUUUUGUGUUUGUGAAGCAAGGUAUCACCCUUACUUCUGAUCAGGUACUGAAUGCUAUGUUUCUUAUGAAAAGUAAUCUCCAUAAGAACUCAAAAAUAUAAUUGAGUUCCCGUGGAGCAUAAUUAUAUUGUAGAAGCUUCUCUGAAUAUUUAUCCCAAAGGAAUAUUAAUGAGUAGCAUAAGAAUGUCUUUCAGCCAUAGGCAUAGUUUUCCAUUGCUCCUUUGUGGAUCAGUUUAGUGCUGAAAAGAACUGAAAUGGAGUGAAAGGGAGAUUCACAGACAUGCAGGGAGUAAGUACUUGGACUUUUCAUUUAAUUUCAUUGUGCAGUCAUCAGACAGUAGCAAAAUAAACACCUCCAUCAUUGUUUUCCAAUAGUCACAAUCUUUGGUUUAUAAUUGAUAAUCUAGAGAUCAGUCUUGCUUGCAGGAAACUCACAGCUUGACCUAUGACUAACUAUCCUUUGCUUCAAAGAAGUACAUUUUUCAUAAGCAGCAAAUUUUAAAAUUGCAUCUGCUAGAUUCACCAUCACAAAGUCAUACACACUCAGAGAAUAAAUAGUGAAAGUUGCUAUGUCUGGGAGUAGGUACAUUUUUAAACAUAAGUUAUGACACAUAGCCAUCGUUCCCAUGUGAUUCCAAGCUAGCCUCCUCAAAGCAUGAAGAAGGUCUGCACCACUGACUUUGGUAUUGUUUGUUUGUUUUUUUUUUUUUUCACUGUCUACCUGGAAUGCCUUUCUUCUCACCUCUCUGCCUAUCUAUAUCCUACCAUUCCAUCAACACCCUGAUUAAAUUUUAUUUCUUCAAUGCUACACUUCCAAGACUACAUAUUUAACCUUAUUUUCAAAAUUACAUAAUUUAAGGCUACUGAAAUGCAUUCUGGCACCUAUGUAUAUUGUAAGCUUGUGUACUUAGAACAGUGCCUAGCACUCUUCUAUGCAUAUCGUAGGCACUCAAUGAACACUCAUUGAAUUCUUUCAGAUUCACAAAGAAUUAAUGAGCAUGUGUAAUUCUCAGUGUCUCUUUUGCUUGUGGUUAAAUCUGAAGUAAUAAUAACUAUUUGUUAUUAUUGCUUGACUAAGAGAAAACAAAUACUUUGGGACCCAAGAGUUUUAUAAAAUAUUUCUGCCAACAACAGGGAAACAUUAUUACAGAAUAUCUAUGUGUAAGUUACUUUCCCCACCUCGAAAAUAUCCGUUUACUUUUCAAAGAGACCUCCCUAAGUCCUUGCUAAGGGAGUCCUCAUGCCACUACUUAGCCCCUCCCCAUCUCACAUAGUACACACCCAUGGACUCUUCCUCUUUGCAGAAUGUAAAAGAAUAAGGAUGUUUUAAUUGAAAACCUGGGGUUACUUCCUAGUCCCAUCACCUGCUAGCUACAUGAGCUUGAACAGCUUACUUGAUAACUGAUUCUCGAUUUCAUCACCUGUUAACUGGGGAUAACAGAACCUCCUCUAAUAGUCUUUGAGAAUGAAAUGAGAUUGUGUAUGUAAAGCAUCUGGCCCAGUAUCAGGCAAAGAGCAAAUUUUAAAAGAAUGUUGAUAUCUUGUUCCACUCUCACUUCUUCUCCCUUUACCUCUCACACCUUCUUUCCUGGGCUUUCUCUUCUUUUUAUACAAUUUAGAUUAUUCUUGCUUUCUCUUCCGUCAUGCAAUGUCCCAUUCAGGUAUGGUAUGUCCAGGAAGGGGAGAGGACAGGAAAGGUUAGAGAAAGCUCGCAUAGGAGCACUGCCAGUGGCUGUUUUGCUCACAUGCCAGCCUGGUCCAGGUUUCGUAAAAGCACAAAGAAUGCUUUGCAAAAAGCCUACUGCUGGCAACAGCCACAAGGUUGAGGCUCUCAAGACUACUACAUGAAAAAGAAAUAAUCUAUAUUUAUCUCCUCCAUCCUCCUAAUAGUGGAAUUCAAAAGCAAUGAAGCCAUUGUGAAGAUAUUAACUUUUUAGAACAGUUAGACACAAAGCUUCAACAAUGAUAUCUAAAGGAAAAGAGAGAAAAUACCCUUCCCAGAGGCAGAAUGAGAUAUAAAAGACUCAGAAAGUAGAGCAGAGAUGAAAGCAUCUAUGAUGCACAGUGGACAAAUGUUCUGACAUUCUAUAAAAGGAACAAAAUUAGAAGUUUAAUGUGGCUUGAGAUCUGAUUCAGAUAUGCAGCUGAAGUCAAAAUCUUAAAUAGACACAGAAAUCCAAGAAAUCUAAAAGUGACUGAAACUCGUGAUUUUGUAUAUAAUCAUUUGUUUCUAGAUUAUUUGGGGGACAUUAAGAAAUACAGAAAUAAAUCACGAAAUUGACAUUAGGGAUGAAGGGAAACUUCACACUACUCCAUUUAAUGUUUCUGAGUGACCCUAGAAUUAUUAAUAUAUAUUUUUUAAUAUUCACUGCAUUUCAAGUGAAUUAUUUAAGCACUUUAUAUCUAUUAAUGUAUGUAUUCAUAACAAUAGCCUUAAGAAGCAUAUACUCUUAUUUUUUUCUUAUUUUAUUGGUUAGGAAACUGAAGCUUAGAGAGUAUACUUAACUUUCCCAGGGUCACACAUGCAGUAAAUGGUGAGGCUGAAAUUUAAACUCAGACAUGUAAUUGGAUACAAAAUAUUAGAACUCAUAAACAAAUUCAGCUUUUAUUUUGUUCUUGACUCUUCUUCAUCUUCCAUUUGAGCAUGGGUUGAAAUCCUGUUAUGUAUCAGUCAAUAUUUUGCUUUUCUAUUUCUUUGUCUAUCUGGGAUUUUUUAAAAAACAUAUUAUUUAUCUCCUUUGUAAAGAUCUGUGGCAUUGUAUUAUUCAUUUGUGUGUCUGUCUGUACCAUGAGGUUGGGAACACCAUCGGUAGCUUAUAUGUAUUUUGCUCUAAAAUGCUUAUUGAGUGAAUGUAUGAUCACACUAACUAGAUGAUAUUUCUACAUGACUAAUCCUAUUUAAAAUGAAAGUUACACUCACAUUUAAAGUUGCCAUAGUUGCAGCAAUUAUUUUAAAAAACCCUAUUUAUAUCUAGUCUCAGUCUUUCAAAGACAAGAUCUAAGUCGAAGCCCUAGCACACGUCUGCAUCUUUCUAAUCCCUGCUAGGAAUGGGCAGGUGAUUUGCGUAGUGUAGGUUGAAAGAAAGCAAUAGCAACACUUAGAGUGUCCCUGACAUAUAUCGCCUGGGGGUCUGACAUCAUUGGCAGUGUUCUGGAGAGAACAUACAUCCACCUCCUACCACUCUUCAAAAGUUUGAGGGUUAGGGACUUGAGCAUGGAGACAGAGUUGAAAAGAUGACAGAAAUGUUAUGUUACACAAUUUGGUUCCUCUAGGGACCAAUCUUAAGCUGUGUCAAAGAAAUAUUGAUAAGGUUAGAGAAUGUGUGUGGUGAAUUACAAAUACUCCAAAAUUAUCAUCACUUGAAGAUCCUCGCACGACACAGUCCAUGCUUCUGAAAAUCACUAUAUGCACAGUGAGAAACUAUUGCUUACCCAUCAGAUUGGUGAACAUUACAAAGACUUACAUAAAAAUGUUGUCAAGGAUGUUGAUGGAGAAAGAACUUUCAAUUCACAAUUUAGGAAUAUAAAUUGCUACAACUACUAUAGAGAAUGCUUUGUCAAUUUCUAAUGCUCAUUAAGACGUACACAUUGGUGGAAAGAUUUGGGUGUAUACCCAACUGUUUUUCAUGUGCUUGAGGAAACAUGUACAAGAAUGUUCACAUGACAUUGUGCUAGAAAAAAGUAGGAAACAAAAUGUCUAUCAACAGGAAUAUGGGCAAAUAAAUUAUGGAAUACUCACACAAUAUUGAAAAUAAAUAAAAUAUAGGUACACAUAUCAAUACUCAUUAAUCUCAAAAACAUAAUGCAUUAACAAGCAAGUUGCAAAAGACUACUGGCAGUGUUUAUAUGAAUGCUGAAGGCUUGUGAAACUAUAUUAUAUUGUUUAUGAAUACAUUCCCAUGUAGGAAAAGUAUAAAUGAAUGCAUGGGUGUGACAGAAAGCAAUUCUGGAGGGUGGUUGUCUUGGGGAGAGGAGAAAAGGGAGAUAAACCAGAAAGAGCACAAACACACUGUAUUAAUUAUGCUUUUUAUUUAAGCCAAAUGAAAGGUACAUCAGUGUCCAUUGUAUUAAUUUUUGUAUCCUUUCGGAUGCUUUAAAUAAACAUUUCUUUUCUUUUCUUUUUCUUUUUCUUUUUUCUUUUCUUUUUUUUUUUUUUUGAGGUGGAGUCUCACUCUGUCGCCAGACUAGAGUGCAGUAGUGUGAUCUCGGUUCACUGCAACCUCCAACUCCUGGGUUCAAAUGAUUCUCCUGCCUCAGUCUCCUGAGUAGCUGGGACCAGAGGCGUGCGUCACCACACCCAGCUCACUUUUGUAUUUUUAGCAGAGACAGGGUUUUACCAUAUUGGCCAGGAAGGUCUUGAUCUCUUGACCUCGUGAUCCGCCCACCUCAGCCUUCCAAAGUGCUGGGAUUACAGGCAUGAGUCGCUGCACCCGGCUUUAAAUAAACAUUUCUAAAAGUAAAAUACACAAUUGCCAAUAGAGUUGUCAGUAUUGAGACUAGAAACCAAAGAUACUGUCUCAGUUUUUAAAGCAAACAUAAUGGCAUAGUAUAUCAUAGAGGGGAAAAAAAACUCAAUAAAAGAAAAUAAAAGAAUAAAUAUUGCAACAAACCCAUUUUCCUUUACAUUCAAAUAUUUUCAACCAGAAGCUGAAUUUUACGUUUGAGUCCAGAAAAUGUCCUUGACAGUAUUGUGAAAAAAUUGUAGGACACAUGCAUGCAAUUGAGAUAGCCAUUUCUUUGACUCUAGAAGUUCUGACAUAAUAACUUAAAAUUUGAGAGGAGCUCACAAAAAGAAGUGUGAAACCAAAUUGUCUAGAGAAGCAUAAAAGCACUCCUCCUCUGCUUGAAAAUUAGCUGGAGCUAAUUUUGGUCUGCUCAAUGCCAGUGUGUACAGUGGCAAGAAAAUUAGCUCCAUAGUUUUACUUUGCUUUUUGUUUUGUUUUUAUUGUCUUUUCAAAAUAAGUCUUUGGCCCCAGGUUAAUAGGAAAAGCAUUUUUCUAAUUUAGGUGCAAGGAGGAGCUUAGCUGUUGGUACUCCUAAGUGAAAGUCAGCAUUGAGUAAGAGCUCACACUCUGCUAGAAAUUUAAGGCCUAUUAUAUUUUAGCAUUGAUUUAAAUACUUGUCACCUUUCUGAUGAGUUGUAAUUAUAGAAAUUUUAUGAAGGACUUGAGAUGAAAUUUCAAAUAAUUAUAUUAUUUAAUGUCUUAACAAUGUAUUUUUAAGCAAGAAAUCCACAAUGAACAGUUACAUGAGAAUAGAAUGUUCUCAUAUUACAUGGUCUUUAGCUCUCUAUAACUCAGAUUGGGAAGUAGAGAUAACAUGUUGUUAGACACUUUUCAUGAAAGGCUUAUCUCUUUAGGUUGAGUGGUAAAGCAUUUUAAUCAAAAUAUAAAUUUGCAAAUAUAUUUAUAGUCCCUAGCCUUAGAAUAUUAUUAAAAUCCUAUAAUAAAUAUAUUUUUAAAGUUGAAUAAGAAUGGAACUUGAAUGAAUCCAGUAACCAGGCAAAUAAAUCCUUAUUUUUCUCAUCAGGGAUGUGGAACUACAUUUUCUCACACUUCUACAGGCUAUAUUAACCAUUCAAUAUUCAACCUAAUCAUUUAAUAAUAUCUUACAUGUUUCAGCUAUUUCACUUGUUAUCAGUUUAAUUGAGGUUCUCCAAUGACAUCAAAGUCUCUUCUCUUUCAAUUUCCACUGUGUAGGGAAGUGGGAACAGUGAAAUAUUAGAUAUAUUUCUAAAUCUAACCAACCAAUAAAGAUUUUUUGGGAAAAAAAGUGAUUGGGAGUUAAAAAUUGAGGUUUUGUCAUCUGAAACUUUAAAAAAAUGUAGCUUGAUCAAUUAAUAUAAAAUUACUCUGUAGCUUCUUUAUAGUCACAAAAUGCCAGACAGCCUCUGAAAAAAAGCAAAGGUAUUCUUGAGCUUUUAUUAUUUUAAAUCAGUUAUACAUUCCUUGCAACUUUGAAAUGUCACAAGUCAAUAUAUUUGAGGACAAAAUGUCUGAAACCUGAUUUGUAGAGAUCCUGCUAGUCAAGGAUUCAACAUCUAUAGAAACCCACUGGCUAUACAGAAAAAUGAGAAGCAGAGUUUAAUAUUUUCAUCUCCAUUCUUAAAGCAUAACACAUUUGCCAUGGGAUACAUGGUUAAUUGUGAAAUGUAUCAUACAUAUGAGUGUAUAAGUACAAUUUAAAUAAUAUAUAAACUACUGCUGCAUACUUCCCAUCCAGGUUAACUAAUAGAACAUCACUGGUAACAAAAUGCCUCCUGCAUAUUCCUCCUUGAUAUGUUCUUCCUUCCCUUCACACUUAGCCACCAUCCUGACUUUGUGUUAAUCAUUCCCCUAUUUUCCUUUAUAAUCCUACCACUUAUAUAUGUAUCCAUAAGCAUUAAACUGUUUAUUUUUGAAAUAGUGAGUAGCAAGCUCAAAUCUAACUGUGUAAGAAAAAGAUAAUAUGGUCACUGUCAUAUCAGAAGGAAGCUUCAAGAACAAAAGGAAACUGUCCUGAGAUUGUGAGUCUGGUUUCUGUUUCUCCAACAAUUUACAGAAAACCAUUUUGAGGAAGUCAGUGAGCAGUGAGCAAGGUCCCAAAUGAAUCCUAGAAACUCAGGGCUCACCUCAGUGGGAAUCCGGCAGGGCUCAAGUAUGGGCCAGGUUUGAGACAUCAGGAAGGAAUCUGUUUGGGGAGAACAAGCUGCUCUGUAUUUUCUGUUUCUAAGCUCACCAGGGCCUAUCUCUUAGGACAAGUUUAAAUCACAUUUCUGUGCAGUGAUGUGAAUGCCCAGCAGGUGGGGCAGCAAGACAAGGAGGGAAGAGUGGAAACUUCAUAAAGACACGGUCAAAGGAAGCCCAGGAUAGAGGAAUCUUGGCUAGUCUCACCGGGCAUUCUGCCUCAGGUUAAGAAGAAAGAACACAGAGGUGCUUUGUCUUGGUGAUAUGGGACCCUUCUGGUCCUCCAUGUCCCAUGUACACUUGGGAUCCUGGGAUCUCUCUUCCCCAUAGCCCUGGGAAUUAUUUUUCCACUAAGUUUUGUAUUGGGUAUCCUGUUUUCCGUGUCAUUUAUAUUCCUUUUUCUUGGUUUCUCUCUUAGUGGCACAUACCCUUCAUUAGUUUCUAGAGAAAUUGUUGAUAGGAACUUUUAAUCAGAUCUUGCAUGUCUGAAAACUCCGAAGGCAACCUUCUUUUUUAUUAUUAUUAUACUUUAAGUUCUAGGCUACAUGUGCACAAUGUGCGGGUUUGUUACAUAUGUAUACAUGUGCCAUGUUGAUUUGCUGCACCCAUUAACUUGUCAUUUACAUUAGGUAUUUCUCCUAAUGCUAUCCCUCCCCCAUACCCCCACCCCAUGACCAUUUUCACACACAGACCCUGGUGUGUAAUGUUCCCUGCCCUGUGUCCAAGUGCUCUUCUAAUUGUUCAAUUCCCACCUAUGAAUGAGAACAUGUGGUGUUUGCUUUUCCGUCCUUGUGAUAGUUUGCUCAGAAUUAUACUUUCCAGCUUCAUCCAUGUCCCUACAAAGGGCAUGAACUCAUCCUUUUUUAUGGCUGCAUAGUAUUCCAUGGUGUAUAUGUGCCACAUUUUCUUAAUCCUGUCUAUCACUGAUGGAUAUUUGAGAUGGUUCCAAGUCUUUGGUAUUGUGAAUAGUGCUGCAGUAAACAUAUGUCUGCAUGUGUCUUUAUAAUAGCAUGAUUUAUAAUCUUUCGGGUAUACACCCAGUAAUGGGAUCUCUGGGACAAAUGGUAUUUCUAGUUCUAGAUCCUUGAGGAAUUGCCACACUGUCUUCCACAAUGGUUGAACUAGUUUACACUCCCACCAACAGUGUAAAAGUGUUCCUAUUUUUCCACAUCCUCUCCAGCACCUGUUGUUUCCUGACUUUUUAAUGAUCACCAUUCUAACAGGUGUGACAUGGCAUCUCAUUGUGGUUUUGACUUGCAUUUCUCUGAUGACCAGUGAUGAUGAGCAUUUUUUCAUGUAUCUGCUGGCUGCAUAAGUGUCUUCUUUUGAGAAGUGUCUGUUCAUAUCCUUUGCCCACUUUUUGGUGGGGUUGUUUUUUUCUUGUAAAUUUGUUUAAGUUCUUUGUAGAUGCUGGAUAUUAGCCCUUUGUCAGACGGGUAAAUUGCAAAAGUUUUCUCCCAUUCUGUAGGUUGCCUGUUCACUCUGAUGGUAGUUUCUUUUGCUGUGCAGAAGCUCUUUAGUUUAAUUACAUCCCAUUUGCCUAUGUUGGCUUUUGUUGCCAUUGCUUUUGAUGUUUCAGUCAUGAAGUCCUUGCCCAUGCCUAUGUUCUGAAUGGUAUUACCUAGGUUUUCUUCUAGGGUUUUUAUGGUUUUAGGUGUAACAUUUAAGUCUUUAAUCCAUCGUGAAAUAAUUUUUGUAUAAAUUGUAAGGAAGGGAUCCAGUUUCAGCUUUCUACAUAUGGCUAGCCAGUUUUCCCAGCACCAUUUAUUACAUAGGGAAUCCUUUCCCCAUUUCUUGUUUUUCUCAGGUUUGUGAAAGAUCAGAUGGUUGUAGAUGUGUGGUGUUAUUUCUGAGGCCUCCAUUCUGUUCCAUUCGUCUAUAUCUCUGUUUUGGUACCAGUACCAUGCUGUUUUGGUUACUGUAGCCUUGUAGUAUAGUUUGAAGUCAGGUAGCAUGAUGCCUCCAGCUUUGUUCUUUUUGCUUAGGAUUGUCUUGGCAAGGUGGGCUUUUUUUUUUUUUUUUUUGGCUCCAUAUGAACUUUAAAGUAGUUUUUUCCAAUUCUGUGGAGAAAGUCAUUGGUAGCUUGAUGGGGAUGGCAUUGAAUCUGUAAAUUACCUUGGGCAGUAUAGCCAUUUUCACGAUAUUGAUUCUUCCUAUCCAUGAGCAUGGAAUGUUCUUCCAUUUGUUCGUGUCCUCUUUUAUUUCGUUGAGCAGUGGUUUGUAGUUCUCCUUGAAGAGGUCCUUUAAAUACCUUGUAAUUUGGAUUCCUAGGUAUUUUACUCUCUUUGUAGCAAUUGUGAAUGGGAGUUCACUCAUGAUUUGGCUCUCUGUCUGUUAUUGGUAUAUAGGAAUGCUUGUGAUUUUUGUACAUUGAUUCUGUAUCUUGAGACUUUGCUGAAGUUGCUUAUCAGUUUAAGGAGAUUUUGGGCUGAGAUGAUGGGGUUUUCUAAAUAUAUAAUCACGUCAUCUGCAAACAGGGACAAUUUGACUUCCUCUUUUCCUAACUGAAUACCCUUUAUUUCUUUCUCUUGCCUGAUUGCCCUGGCCAGAACUUCCAACACUAUGUUAAAUAGGAGUGGUGAGAGAGGGCAACCCUGCCUUUUGCCGGUUUUCAUAGGCAAUACUUCCAGUUUUUACUCAUUCAGUAUGAUAUUGGCUGUGGGUUUGUCAUAAAUAGCUCUUAUUAUUUUGAGAUACGUCCCAUUAAUACCUAGUUUUUUGAGAGUUUUUAGCAUGAAGGGCUGUUGAAUUUCGUCGAAGACCUUUUCUGCAUCUAUUGAGAUAAUCAUGUGGUUUUUGUCUUUGGUCCUGUUUAUGUGAUGGAUUACAUUUACCAAUUUGCGUAUGUUGAACCAGGCUUGCAUCCUAGGGAUGAAGCCAACUUGAUCAUGUUGGAUAAGCUUUCUGAUGUGCUGCUGGAUUCGGUUUGCCAGUAUUUUAUUGAUGAUUUUAGUAUCGAUGUUCAUCAGGGAUAUUGGUCUAAAAUUCUCAUUUUUGUUGUUAUUGUGUCUCUGCCAGGCUUUGGUAUCAGGAUGAUGCUGGCCUCAUAAAAUGAGUUAGGGAGGAUUCCCUCUUUUUCUAUUGAUUGGACUAGUUUCAGAAGGAAUGGUACCAGCUCCUCUUUGUACCUCUGGUAGAAUUCAGCUAUGAAUCUUUCUGGUCCUGGACUUUUUUUGUUUGGU
RNAcentral lists this long non-coding RNA (24517 nucleotides) under Homo sapiens (human). Its description in RNAcentral is "non-protein coding MIR124-2HG:24". The stretch from base 1170 to 1240 matches the Rfam family "mir-124 microRNA precursor family". The record is from RNAcentral. Lineage: Eukaryota; Metazoa; Chordata; Mammalia; Primates; Hominidae.